RNAcentral lists this ribosomal RNA (497 nucleotides) under uncultured bacterium. Its description in RNAcentral is "partial 16S ribosomal RNA". It matches the Rfam family "Bacterial small subunit ribosomal RNA", at positions 28 to 523 of the family's 1533-position model. The record is from RNAcentral.
GAUGAACGCUGGCGGCGUGCUUAACACAUGCAAGUCGAACGAAGCACUUUGAUCGAUUUCUUCGGAUUGAAAUUUUAGUGACUGAGUGGCGGACGGGUGAGUAACGCGUGGGUAACCUGCCUCACACAGGGGGAUAACAGUUGGAAACGGCUGCUAAUACCGCAUAAGCGCACAGUACCGCAUGGUACGGUGUGAAAAACUCCGGUGGUGUGAGAUGGACCCGCGUCUGAUUAGCUAGUUGGCAGGGCAACGGCCUACCAAGGCGACGAUCAGUAGCCGGCCUGAGAGGGUGACCGGCCACAUUGGGACUGAGCUACGGCCCAAACUCCUACGGGAGGCAGCAGUGGGGAAUAUUGCACAAUGGGGGAAACCCUGAUGCAGCGACGCCGCGUGAGCGAAGAAGUAUUUCGGUAUGUAAAGCUCUAUCAGCAGGGAAGAAGAAAUGACGGUACCUGACUAAGAAGCACCGGCUAAAUACGUGCCAGCCGCCGCCGUAA